GACGAACGCUGGCGGCGUGCUUAACACAUGCAAGUCGAACGGAAAGGCCCUGCUUUUGCGGGGUGCUCGAGUGGCGAACGGGUGUGUAACACGUGAGUAACCUGCCCUUGACUUUGGGAUAACUUCAGGAAACUGGGGCUAAUACCGGAUAGGAGCUCCUGCUGCAUGGUGGGGGUUGGAAAGUUUCGGCGGUAGUGGAUGGACUCGCGGCUUAUCAGCUUGUUGGUGGGGUAGUGGCUUACCAAGGCUUUGACGGGUAGCCGGCCUGAGAGGGUUGCCGGCCACAUUGGGACUGAGGGACGGACCAGACGGCAACGGGAGGCAGCAGUGGGGAAUAUUGCGCAGUGGGCGGGAGCGUGAUGCAGAGACGCCGCGUGCGGGAUGACGGCCUACGGGUGGUAAACCGCUUUCGCCUGAGACGAAGCGUGAGUGACGGUAAUGGAUAAAGAAGCACCGGCUAACUACGUG
This 468-nucleotide ribosomal RNA is filed under the name uncultured bacterium. RNAcentral describes it as "partial 16S ribosomal RNA". It matches the Rfam family "Bacterial small subunit ribosomal RNA", at positions 28 to 507 of the family's 1533-position model. The record is from RNAcentral.